Molecule: long non-coding RNA, 6408 nt
Filed under: Medicago truncatula (barrel medic)
Lineage: Eukaryota; Viridiplantae; Streptophyta; Magnoliopsida; Fabales; Fabaceae
Description: long non-coding RNA (MTRU_LNC004211)
Source: RNAcentral
UUAUUUUCUUUUCUUAAUCAAACUUCAAUCAAUUUAACUUUACUUAAAGUCUCUUUUUUCAAUAUUAAAAAACACAAACAAACACUUAUUUGCCACUUGGCUUUUCAUUUUAAAACCUUUUUCAAAACUAAUAAAAAACAUAAAAACCAAUCAAACGUCAUUUUCUACCCUGAACUACGAGGUUUUGAUCCCUCACGGGUACGUAGGCAGAGGACAAUCGUCCUUUCAAAUCAAUAAAAAUGUAGAUAAUUAGGUCUUUAUUUUUAUCAUUUUCACUCUAAUUUCUUUUUUAAGCAAGCAAGUUAUAGCACAUUAAUUAAAUAAAAUCAAGAGGUUCUCGUAGAGUACUACGAAUAUUUAGGGUGCUAAUACUUUCCCUAAAUAUAACCAACCCCCGAACCCUAAAUCUUCUCAACAUGGGGUGUUUUGAACUUUUUCCCCUUUUUCUUAAAAAAUUAAAUGUUCAGUCGUGAAAUAAUUAGCGAGUCAAAAGCUAAUCAAAUAGCCUUGAUCUCCGAAAAAUGACGCGACAGAAAUGGCGACUUCACUGGGGAUCCCCCCUAAGAGGGUUGAGCCUAACUUGACUUUAUUUAAUUCUUUGUGCUAUAACUUGCUAAAAAAAAUAAAAAAAAUAAAAGAUGGAAAUACUUGUAUAUAUGUUCUUCCUUCUUCUUCCUUCUUUCUAACGUGAGUGGUGAGAUAAGUCCUACACCCGGACUUGAGAGAAAUUUAAGAUAGGACGGUGGUAUAAUCAUAGUUCCAUGCCAAGAGUACUCUUCGGUAUUGGUACAUGUGAUAACCCCACUCAACGGAGGGAUCUUGGAAGUAUAUGUGGUCAACGUGAGUACUCAUGUUUGGCAUGCUAUUUUCAAGGGACCAUUGAAGUUGAGGACCUUUAGUCACCUUUAACCCAUCUUGGCCUUUUAGGACGUAGUGCGGUGGCUAAUCGAGAGUACUCUUGAAUUAGUUGAUACGCGAUACUACACCCAAACGAGACUUUCCGACGGAUGUUAAUUGCAAUGGGAGUACUCCCGUCACCCGAUAAAUAUUCAGAAGUGGUUAAUGAGUUUGGGAACUUGGUAGAACCCUUGUUACAAGUGCAAUUUGAAACCAUAGUCCUUACCAAAUGGCGUGUUUACCCUUGACUCCAACAUUGUGGACUUAACCUCACCAUGCAUUCCACAUUCUUUAGCAUAAUCAUGCAUACAUGCAUUCAUACAUAAGAAAAAAUUCUCACUAAUAUCGAAGGACUUAGAUAAGUUUUUGUAAACAUCAAAGAUGUGGACCUCGUAAGAAAGAACACCAAGAAAUACAACUUCAAAAAUCUUAACUAAGCUUUAGGUUUUGUUAAGAACUUUUUUCCUUGGUUUCGUUCUUACUUUUGAAAAGGGAACCAAUUACAACAUCUUCACAAUUUUCAAAUAAAACAAUGUUCCUUAUCAAGUUUACAAUUACUUUGACAAGUCCUUCAAAAAAAUGUGUCUAUUUUUGCAUAAGCAUAGAAUGCAUCACUUUGCAUUCAGGUCUGAGUGUUACACUGUGUCUUUUCUACUAAGGGUCAAUCCAUCUCAAAGGUGUCCCAACUGUCCUCGUCCAAAGCCAACUCGCACUUACAACACUCGUGCAAACAAAAAGAAAGAACAUAUCAGUUUGAACAAGAAAUCCACGAGCAUUCGUGAAGAGGUAACAACACUAUUGACGUUCCUUCCACCACUUUUUGUUCAAAUAAUGUUUGUUUGUUGCUUUUCUCUUUUCAAAGAACAUCCUUUCGUCCCGCCUGAGGUGAAAGUGAACUGGUGUAGGGCUUUUUGCUUUAAGAAUUGUCAUCAUUAAUAAAAAGGUCGUUUUGAUCCCGACUUGGUUUUCAUUUUGUGCUUUUCUCUGGAAAAAUGGUAAUACAAAAAACUCAAAAAGUAAUAAUCAUUUUCAAAUAUCUGCAUAACCAUAACUUGUUCUUACUUGCCAAAAUCAAUAAAUAAAUCAUGCAUUAAUAAAUUCGUUGAACACAUUUACCAUGUACUCUCUUCCAACUUUGAGUUCCUUGUAUUCGAAGCUGAAGAAGACAAGAAUGAAGAGACUCCCGACAUGAUCUCUCACAUACUGGGGCAUCUUAGCCGUCAAAGCUGCGAACAAAAUAUCAAAGAAGAUUGCCCAGAAGAUGGCUUUCAUUUACAAAGACUGGCACGAAAUGCUACCAUUUGCACUUCAUGAGUAUUGUACUUCAGUACACACUUCAACAGGGGCAACCCCCUCUUUCAUUAACAUACAUCAUGAAGGCCAUGCUUCCUGUGGAGGUCGAAGUCCCGACAAUAAGAGUUCUGCUGAAAUCCAAGCUUGAUUGAAUUUAAAUACAUGACGAACUUGUACAACCAUGUCAAAAGAGGUUGAAACAAACUUCCAACAAGAAGGUUCGUCCCCACAAAAUUCAAGAAAGAGACUUUGUGCCCAAAAAGGUGCUACCUUUCCAACCAGACUCCAGGAGCAAGUGGACGCCUAACUAUGAAGGCUCAUGUGCAAUGAAUUUUACAACUAUGGAUGGUGACAAACUUGUACUUCCUAUGAAUGCCGGUGUAGUCAAGAAAUACUCUGUCAAAUAUAAAAGCUCGAUAAGUCGCAAACCUGAAAAGGCGGCUUAGGCAAAAAUGAGCGUCUCGGUGGACUGAAAACCCAAAAGGGCGGUCCAGGCAAAAGUUAGAGACAUUAUCCUGAUAGAUUUAAAACCCGAAAGGGCGAUCUAUGCAAAAGUUAAGGAUCAAAAGACAAAGUAACUGCAUCCGGUCGGGCACAAUCCACUUGGGGCAUCCAGCUAUCAAAAGACCUCCGAUUCGAAGCAUCUGCAAAUCAAAGACUUGGAACAGGGGCAUUCAAAGUUGUUAGGGAGAAUAGCGGUUAUUUGUGUUCAAUGUACCCUUCCCAUUACAUUUACCAUUUUUCCAAAAAUUUUCAAAAUUCCGUGGAUCCAUGCCCUUGGCAGGUCACCACUCAAUUCAUCAAAAUUUGAGCCUGUGCCCAUUUAUUUGGAACUCUCAUCUAUUCUAUUUGCAUAAUUUCUUCUAUUUUUGAUGGCAGUACUUAAAGCAAAAAUUUUCAAAAAUACAAAACUUGUUUUACAUCUUUUGAAAAGUGUGCACAACAAACACACUCUCUUUGAACUCAUGAGUAGGUGAAGCGUACAUCAACAUUCGCCUCGAGAACGGUUACACUCCGGAAGAGAAACAUGGCUAGGCACUACGGAAAGGACCUCUACUUUGAGCAAGAUGUUGUCACAGUCGAAAAAUACAAAAAAAAAAAAGAAAUGCAAAAAAAAAAAUCAAAGCUCGCUAAGUUGAAAACCUGAAAAGGCGGCUUAAGCAAUAGAGAGCGUCCCGGUGGACUGAAAACCCCAAAGGGCGGUCCAGGCAAAAAUUAGGGGCACAAAAAAGAAUAUAAUCCCGGUGGACUGAAAAUUUGAAAGGACGGUCCAGGCAAAAGUUAGGGAUUUUUCUAUAAAAAAAAAAAUAACUGCUGAAACAUACCAAUGGAGGAACACUCUGUGCCGGUUUACAAAUGGCGACUUCUUCCAAACUUUUUAUCAACAAUGGGCUUACCCCAAGGUGGCAUCAAUUGCUACCUCGUGCCAGGUUCUUACACCGUCAACGGCUCGAUUUGUUCACAAUAGUAUCAUCUCCAAGGAAGUUUGCUGAGUGUUUAUACUGCGAUGUCAGUCCGUCUCCCAUCUGACUUGUCUUGUCUCGGUUCAUCGAGUCACAUGUCAUAUACAGUCAUGCAGUCAUACAUUCACACAGUCACACAUUCAUACAUUCAUACAAUCAUGCAUUCAUCAAUAUUUUCACAUAUUCGUACGUUUAUACGUACACAUCAUAUGCACAACAUCAAUUCACACAUAAUUGCAUCAAUCGUCCAGAAUCUCGAUUCGGUCAUGUCUCUCCAGUUCAGUCUUAACUUACCAUUGUGUCAAGCCGCAAGUUUCUACAAAUAAGCCUCUUCCAUUUACCUUCUUAUUGUCAAAGUGUCAUCCCCGGUGUGAAGCCGUGCUAGUCAUGACACUAAUCAAACUUCAAUUUCAACUCUCAAUAGUGUCAUCCCCAGUGUGACUGACCAAGUUGUCCUUUCAUUCUUACCUUUGUUAAGCUAUCUCAUCGAUAGUUAGGUAAAAGUAUCAUUUGUCUUUGUUAAGCUAUCAUUUCAACGAUAGUUAGACGAUGGUUUUUCUUUCAUUCUUACCUUUGUUAAGCUAUCUCAUCGAUAGUUAGGUAAAAGUAUAAUUUGUCUUUGUUAAGCUAUCAUUUCAACGGUAGUUAGACGAUGGUUUUUCUCUCAUUCUUACCUUUGUUAAGCUAUCUCAUCGAUAGUUAGGUAAAAGUAUCAUUUGUCUUUGUUAAACUAUCAUUUCAACGGUAGUUAGACGAUGGUUUUUCUUUCAUUCUUACCUUUGUUAAGCUAUCUCAUCGACGAUGGUUUUUCUCUCAUUCUUACCUUUGUUAAGCUAUCUCAUCGAUAGUUAGGUAAAAGUAUCAUUCGUCUUUGUUAAGCUAUCAUUUCAACGAUAGUUAGACGAUGAUUUUUCUCUCAUUCUUACCUUUGUUAAGCUAUCUCAUCGAUAGUUAGGUAAAAGUAUCAUUUGUCUUUGUUAAGCUAUCAUUUCAACGAUAGUUAGACGAUGGUUUUUCUCUCAUUCUUACCUUUGUUAAGCUAUCUCAUCGAUAGUUAGGUAAAAGUAUCAUUUGUCUUUGUUAAGCUAUCAUUUCAACGAUAGUUAGACGAUGGUUUUUCUUUCAUUCUUACCUUUGUUAAGCUAUCUCAUCGAUAGUUAGGUAAAAAUAUCAAUCGUCUCUGUUCAGCUAUCAAUACGAUAGUAGACAAUCAUUUUCCCCAAUGAAACUAUAUUCCCCUAACGGAGUCGGACCCCUUUUUCUUCAACGAAUUAGGGUAUCCCGUUAUUGUUUCUCAUUCCAGUCAAAUCACAUUUGUCGUCCUGCAUUCAUACUUGCAUCACAUGCAUUCAUAACAUCUUAGGUCAAAAAUGGCGUACUUUGUAUUUAAGUCUCUUCGACUCGUCAAAUCAAAGAUUUCAUCUUCAAAUCUCCGGACGAAGAAACUUAAAUAGGGGCAUCUGUCAUACCCCAAUUUUUGACCUAAGGCCCCACUGACACAUGUCACUCGACUCUGAUUGAUCUCUGAUUUUUUAGUAAAAAAAUUCGGCAGGGAGGUAUUUUAAAAUACCUCAUUUUUUUGAUUUCGAGUCGGACCCUCUUUUCUCUUUUUUAUUUUCUUUCCAUCUUUUAUUAAUUUUAAUUUUAAGAUAAGUUACUUUUUUUAUAUUUAAUAAUUUUUAAUUUCCAUCUUUUAAUUUUAUUUUUCUUUACAUAAUUUAGUUUAAUUUGUUUUUAUUUUUAUUUCGUAUUAGAUUUAUUUUAUUUUUAUUUUAUUUCUUUUUAAUUAAUUAGUGUCCAAAAAAACAAAGUGUCAAUAGGUCCAAAAAUAAAAUGCCCAAGGUCUAAAAAAAAAUUCAAAUCAAAGUGUCAACUUUAACAUUCCUUUUUCAAAAUUCACAUAAUUGUCCAUCAUUUCCAUUAAACCAAUUUUCCUUUUUUCAUCAAACUCCUGACCUAUAAAUAGAGCCCUCAUUCCACACAAUUUCACACACCAAAAGUUCUCUUGAGUAGUCAAAGAACUUUUCUCUCUUCUCCCUCUUUAGCUUGUGUUGACGAGCUAUUCUUUUCUUCUCCCUCUUUUUUCUGUCCCUUCGGAAUAAGUCCCUUCGGAAAAGUCCCUUCAGUAAUUUUUGCCCCUUCGGUUGUCAAUUUCUUUUAUUUUCUUGCAUUUUAUUUCUUUUUAGCAUUUUUGCAUUUUUUUAAUUUCUAUUUAGCAUUUUAAUUAUUGUUAUUUAUUUUCCAGCAAUUAGAAUGUAUUUAGGUCCAAUGUAAAUAUAAAUGAGAAAAGUGUGUGGGUGUGUGUGUGUGUCAUUUUAUUUCUUUACCGCCUUAGAUAUAUCCAAAAAUGCAAAAAAAUUAGAUUAGGGAUUUUGUGGUGAUCCAACGUCACUACAAAAAUCCACGCGCUUUUAUUUUUAUUGCUCCGUUAGUUUAAUUUUUAUUUAAUAUUCCAAAAAAACAACAAAAAACAUGCAAAUAAUCAAAAUCACAAAAAUAUUUUCAUAAUAAACCUUGAUCCAAAUCAAGUGACCGCAUUUUUAUUUUCUUUUCUUAAUCAAACUUCAAUCAAUUUAACUUUACUUAAAGUCUCUUUUUUCAAUAUUAAAAAACACAAACAAACACUUAUUUGCCACUUGGCUUUUCAUUUUAAAACCUUUUUCAAAACUAAUAAAAGACAUAAAAAUCAAUCAAACGUCAUUUUCUACCCCGAACUACGAGGUUUUGAUCCCUCACGGGUACGUAGGCAGAGGAC